UACGUAGGCAGCGAGCGUUGUUCGGAGUUACUGGGCGUAAAGGGUGUGUAGGCGGUUCUUUAAGUUUGGUGUGAAAUCUCCCGGCUCAACCGGGAGGGUGCGCCGAAUACUGAGGGACUAGAGUACGGGAGAGGAAAGUGGAAUUCCUGGUGUAGCGGUGAAAUGCGUAGAUAUCAGGAGGAACACCGGUGGUGUAGACGGCUUUCUGGACCGUAACUGACGCUGAGACACGAAAGCGUGGGUAGCAAACAGG
Molecule: ribosomal RNA, 253 nt
Filed under: uncultured bacterium
Lineage: Bacteria
Also listed under: 2 other names
Description: partial 16S ribosomal RNA
Rfam family: Bacterial small subunit ribosomal RNA
Source: RNAcentral